RNAcentral lists this long non-coding RNA (260 nucleotides) under Setaria viridis. Its description in RNAcentral is "long non-coding RNA (SVIR_LNC003531)". Lineage: Eukaryota; Viridiplantae; Streptophyta; Magnoliopsida; Poales; Poaceae. The record is from RNAcentral.
AGGUCUUCACUCAUAGUUUAUUGAACAGCAAAGUUCUUUGGCAAACACUAUCUUUGCCUCCGUUCGGCUAUUCACAGCCACUCAAGCUCUUCAGCUCUGCGAGCCCCAGCGCUCCGCUUUCAACUUGAUUCCAUCAAGUCUCUUUGAGUUAUUACAACUCGACAACUAUUCACAGCCACUCAAGCUCUUCAGCUCUACGAGCCCCAGCGCUCCGCUUUUGACUUGAUUCCAUCAAGUCUCUUCGAGUCAUCACAACUCAC